UACGGAGGGAGCGAGCGUUGAUCGGAAUUACUGGGCGUAAAGGGUGCGUAGGUGGUUGAUUAAGUUAUCUGUGAAAUUCCUGGGCUUAACCUGGGACGGUCAGAUAAUACUGGUUGACUCGAGUAUGGGAGAGGGUAGUGGAAUUUCCGGUGUAGCGGUGAAAUGCGUAGAGAUCGGAAGGAACACCAGUGGCGAAGGCGUCUACCUGGCCUAAUACUGACACUGAGGCACGAAAGCGUGGGGAGCAAACAGG
Molecule: ribosomal RNA, 253 nt
Filed under: uncultured bacterium
Lineage: Bacteria
Description: partial 16S ribosomal RNA
Rfam family: Bacterial small subunit ribosomal RNA
Source: RNAcentral